CUUCCUUUGCUUGACCAAUCAGGGGAUGUGGUUCGUGGUGGCUGAUGGCUGGAAGACCGACGAUGGGCGGCGACAACAGGUGGCCGACGUUGGUGAAUGGCCGACAAUGGGCAACGAUGGAAGGCCGGGGUGGUGGUGACCGACCAAUCAGAAAGAAUCAUGAAAAAAUAUGAAAAACAAGGAUCCAAUCCUUUUCUUGGAUUUUCUAAGAUGGCCGUUCACCGACGGCCAUGAUAUCGCCGUGAAGGGUCGUGGAGAGGCUGAGGGUCAUGAUCCAAGGGUGCGGCACUGCAAACGAUGGUGUCGGUGGUCAGAAAAAGAAAGAAAAAUCGGACCAAAAAUAGAAUAUUCUUUAAAGGUGGAUUUCCAACAAAUCCGAUAGUCGGC
RNAcentral lists this long non-coding RNA (387 nucleotides) under Elaeis guineensis (African oil palm). RNAcentral's name for it is "long non-coding RNA (EGUI_LNC023927)". The record is from RNAcentral. Lineage: Eukaryota; Viridiplantae; Streptophyta; Magnoliopsida; Arecales; Arecaceae.